GCGAAUGUAGUUCAGUGGUAGAGCAACAGGUUUUCCAACCUGUGGAUGUAGGUUCGACUCCAACCAUUCGCU
Molecule: transfer RNA, 72 nt
Filed under: Schleiferilactobacillus harbinensis
Lineage: Bacteria; Bacillati; Bacillota; Bacilli; Lactobacillales; Lactobacillaceae
Description: Lactobacillus harbinensis tRNA-Glu
Rfam family: tRNA
About the family: Transfer RNA (tRNA) molecules are approximately 80 nucleotides in length. Their secondary structure includes four short double-helical elements and three loops (D, anti-codon, and T loops).
Source: RNAcentral